Molecule: ribosomal RNA, 496 nt
Filed under: uncultured bacterium
Lineage: Bacteria
Description: partial 16S ribosomal RNA
Rfam family: Bacterial small subunit ribosomal RNA
Source: RNAcentral
AUGAACGCUGGCGGCGUGCCUAAUACAUGCAAGUCGAGCGAACAGACGAGGAGCUUGCUCCUCUGACGUUAGCGGCGGCCGGGUGAGUAACACGUGGAUAACCUACCUAUAAGACUGGGAUAACUCCGGGAAACCGGAGCUAAUACCGGAAAAUAUAUUGAACCGCAUGGUUCAAUAGUGAAAGACGGUUUUGCUGUCACUUAUAGAUGGAUCCGCGCCGCAUUAGCUAGUUGGUAAGGUAACGGCUUACCAAGGCAACGAUGCGUAGCCGACCUGAGAGGGGGAUCGGCCACACGGGAACUGAGACACGGUCCAGACUCCUACGAGAGGCAGCAGUAGGGAAUCUUCCGCAAUGGGCGAAAGCCUGACGGAGCAACGCCGCGUGAGUGAUGAAGGUCUUCGGAUCGUAAAGCUCUGUUAUUAGGGAAGAACAAAUGUGUAAGUAACUAUGCACGUCUUGACGGUACCUAAUCAGAAAGCCACGGCUAACUACGUG